GUCCCCGUAGCUCAGCAGGAUAGAGCAGCCGCCUCCUAAGCGGCAGGUCGCAGGUUCGACUCCUGCCGGGGACGCCA
This 77-nucleotide transfer RNA is filed under the name Idiomarina loihiensis. RNAcentral's name for it is "tRNA-Arg". It matches the Rfam family "tRNA". From Rfam's summary of the family: Transfer RNA (tRNA) molecules are approximately 80 nucleotides in length. Their secondary structure includes four short double-helical elements and three loops (D, anti-codon, and T loops). RNAcentral also lists the same sequence under 13 other names. The record is from RNAcentral. Lineage: Bacteria; Pseudomonadati; Pseudomonadota; Gammaproteobacteria; Alteromonadales; Idiomarinaceae.